This is a long non-coding RNA of Gouania willdenowi (blunt-snouted clingfish), 1570 nucleotides long. NCBI's taxonomy places the organism in Eukaryota, Metazoa, Chordata, Actinopteri, Blenniiformes, Gobiesocidae. The record is from Ensembl.
AUUAUGGUACAUCUGCAAAAUAUGGUAAAGUGCAAAUUGGUUUUAAUUUGGCAGUAAAAACAGUUUGAACUGUUUACUUUAGUUUAAAUAUAAAAAUCUAUUUACCUUGUAAUUUUCUACUCUAAUAACUGAAGGCCAACCUGAUGGGGUCAUACCAGGAGUUGGCACAGGAAGUGGCACCACAGGAGCUGGUACAGGGACUGGAACCACAGGAACUGGAACCACAGGAGUUGGUACAGGAACUGGUACUACAGGGACUAGAACAACAGGAUCUAUUGGGGCUGGCACAGGAAUUAGACCCACAGCAAUUGGACCUACAGGAGCUGAUACAGGAAGUGGUACUUCAGGAAAUGGCACCAGUACAGGAGGUGUUGGGGGAACAGUUGGAUCAAGUGGUGAGGUUCUGUGUAAAGUUUAAAAACGUUUAUAUAUCAUUCCAAAAUAAGUACAAAAAUGUGCUGAACUGUGUCUGUUGCAUCAGGUGGGGGACCUGAAUCCACAGGAAGCACAGCAGCUCCAGGAUCAGAAGGUGACAGGGCUGUGAUUGAGGGAUCUGGAAGUUCUGGUGGAGAAGGCAAGUGAACCUAUCUGAUCUACAGACAUUUAUUCCACUUUCCACCACCCAGAGACAUUACCUCUAUAAAAACUCGUAAAACAACCCCUAAAUGUAUGAAAACAUAAUGCAUUCUAUAUUUAAAUAGGAGACACUAGUGUAGCUGGCAGCCCGACCGGUGCAGGAGGUGAUGGAGAUCGACUGGGUGGAGCAGGAAUCCCAAUUAUUGGUGCAAAACCAGGUAAGUUCAUGCUUCACAUUUAAAAUGCAUGUAAAAUGUAUCUGCCUACAUUUGAUCGAAAAUGGUUUUUAAACUGUACCACAGGUAGAGAAUGUUUUCAUAUCAUCCUAAAGGUCCUGUUGUAUCUUCUUUAUCAAACAGGACUCAAUGGGACCACCAUUUCAGGGACUGGUGACAGGACAAGUGUGAUUCUACCGGGAGCCAAACCCCUCAAACCCCCAGGUGUUCCCAGAGGAGACACACCAGGUGAGGGAGAUGGAGAAGGAGGCCCUGAUGGAGAGAGGGAGGGUACUAUUGGCAUAGCUGGAGGUCCUACUGGUGCAGGAACACCUGGAAGUGUUUCAGGUGGAGUGGCGGGAACUGGAGAAGGAGGAAGCCCUGCAGCAGGAGGAACACCAAUGCCACAUAAAGAACAUGGAGCUGAUGGAACAACAGGAGGAGGUAGUGGCAGUGCAGGUGGAGUGACGGGUGGGGUCAGCACUGGUCCUGGGUCUGUUGGAGGGGGUCCGGGAAGUGUCGGAGGUGGGACAGGAGCAGGUGGUUUGGUACCAGGUGGAGGAGGUGCAGGAAUUGUUAAACCUGGAAAAAGUUAUGGAGCAGGUGGAGCUGGAGUUUUGCCAGCUGGAGGUAAUGUAACAGUUCCCACCUGGAUUGAGCAAGUUAUCAGACACUGAAGUUUUACAGUUUAUUUGUUUUCCCUUUCAGGUGUUCGUUAUCCGACUGGAGCGGGAGUAGGAGCCGGAAAACCAGGAAAAGGUUCAAAGAGCUAUCAAACG